GGGUGUGUAGCUCAGUGGUAGAGCACUUGCCCAGUAUGUAUAAGGCCCUGGGUUCAAUCUCCCCACCGCAGCCA
RNAcentral lists this transfer RNA (74 nucleotides) under Heterocephalus glaber (naked mole-rat). It matches the Rfam family "tRNA". Rfam says of the family: Transfer RNA (tRNA) molecules are approximately 80 nucleotides in length. Lineage: Eukaryota; Metazoa; Chordata; Mammalia; Rodentia; Bathyergidae. The record is from Rfam by way of RNAcentral.